UACGUAGGUGGCAAGCGUUGUCCGGAUUUACUGGGUGUAAAGGGCGCGUAGGCGGGUUAGCAAGUCAGAGGUGAAAUACUACAGCUUAACUGUAGAACUGCCUUUGAAACUGUUAAUCUUGAGUGCGGAAGAGAGAGACGGAAUUCCAGGUGUAGCGGUGAAAUGCGUAGAUAUCUGGAAGAACACCAGUAGCGAAGGCGGUCCCUUGGUCCGUUACUGACGCUCAGGCGCGAAAGCGUGGGGAGCAAACAGG
This 253-nucleotide ribosomal RNA is filed under the name uncultured bacterium. Its description in RNAcentral is "partial 16S ribosomal RNA". It matches the Rfam family "Bacterial small subunit ribosomal RNA", at positions 524 to 776 of the family's 1533-position model. The record is from RNAcentral.